UACGUAGGGUGCGAGCGUUGUCCGGAAUUACUGGGCGUAAAGGGUGCGUAGGCGGUCGGGUAAGUCUGAUGUGAAAUCUCACAGCUUAACUGUGAAACUGCAUUGGAUACUAUCCGGCUCGAGGAAUGGAGGGGAGACUGGAAUACUUGGUGUAGCAGUGAAAUGCGUAGAUAUCAAGUGGAACACCAGUGGCGAAGGCGAGUCUCUGGACAUUUCCUGACGCUGAGGCACGAAAGCCAGGGGAGCAAACGGG
RNAcentral lists this ribosomal RNA (253 nucleotides) under uncultured bacterium. RNAcentral describes it as "partial 16S ribosomal RNA". It matches the Rfam family "Bacterial small subunit ribosomal RNA", at positions 524 to 776 of the family's 1533-position model. The record is from RNAcentral.